This 2308-nucleotide ribosomal RNA is filed under the name human gut metagenome. RNAcentral describes it as "bacterial LSU rRNA". It matches the Rfam family "Bacterial large subunit ribosomal RNA", at positions 1 to 2302 of the family's 2925-position model. The record is from RNAcentral.
ACAAGUUGACAAGAGCAUCGGGUGGAUGCCUUGGCGUCGGAAGGCGAUGAAAGACGUGGUAAGCUGCGAAAAGCCUCGGGGAGAAGCUAAACAUUCUAUGAUCCGGGGAUUUCUGAAUGGGGAAACCCGGCGGAGGUCAUGCUCCGUCGCGGGCACUUGAAUACAUAAAGUGUCCAGCGCCAACUCAGGGAAGUGAAACAUCUCAGUACCUGAAGGAAAAGAAAUCAAACGAGACUCCCAAAGUAGCGGCGAGCGAAAUGGGAUGAGCCCAAACCGGCUGGAUUCGUUCAGCCGGGGUUGUAGGGCCGGCAUAUGUGAUUCAUGAGUAGGCAGGGGAAAUGAGCUGGAAAGCUCUGCCAGAGCGGGUGACAGCCCCGUACCUGAAACCGAAAGCGACACAGCCGGUACCUGAGUACCGCGAGACACGUGGAACCUCGUGGGAAUCCGGGAGGACCAUCUUCCAAGGCUAAGUACUAACCGACGACCGAUAGUGUACCAGUACCGUGAGGGAAAGGUGAAAAGAACCUCUGUUAGAGGAGUGAAAUAGAAUCUGAAACCUGGUGCUUACAAGCUGUGAGAGCGGACUUGUUCCGUGAUCACGUGCCUUUUGCAUAAUGAGUCAGCGAGUUAAUCUGUACUGCAAGGUUAAGCGUGAGUGGAGCCGUAGGGAAACCGAGUCUGACAAGGGCGAUGAGUAGUGCGGAUUAGACCCGAAACCGGGUGAUCUAUCCAUGAGCAGGUUGAAGCAAGGGUAAAACCUUGUGGAGGACCGAACCAAUACCGGCUGAAAACGGUUUGGAUGACUUGUGGAUAGGGGUGAAAGGCCAAUCAAACCCGGUGAUAGCUGGUUCUCCCCGAAAUAUAUUGAGGUAUAGCCUCAUGGAUUGUCUACCGGAGGUAAAGCACUGACAGGGCUAGGGGUCCUACCAGAUUACCAAACCCUAUCAAACUCAGAAUGCCGGUCAGAUGUACCAUGGGAGUCAGACGGCGGGUGCUAAGGUCCGUCGUCGAGAGGGUAAGAGCCCAGAUCAACAGCUAAGGUCUCCAAAUCUAUGCUCAGUGGUUAAGGUGGUGACGUUGUAGAGACACCCAGGACGUUGGCUUAGAAGCAGCCAUCGUUUAAAGAAAGCGUAAUAGCUCACUGGUCUAAUGACGUUGCGCCGAAAAUGUAACGGGGCUAAGCAUAGUACCGAAGCUUUGAAUUCCGCGUAUGCGGUCUGGUAGGGGAGCGUUCUUCACGGGCUGAAGGUGUGUCGUAAGGCAUGCUGGACUGUGGAGAAGUGAUUAUGCUGACAUGAGUAACGAUAAAACGGGUGAAAAACCCGUUCGCCGUAAACCCAAGGUUUUCCGGGUAAAGGUAAUCUUCCCGGAGUUAGUCGGCCCCUAAGGCGAGGCUGAAAGGCGUAGCUGAUGGGAAACGUGUUAAUAUUCACGUACUUGUGUGUUCGCGCGAUGAAGGGACGCAGGAAGAUAGGCAAGCCGGGCGCUGGUUGUCCCGGUGCAAGCGUGUAGGGAUGAGAAGUUGGCAAAUCCGCUUCUCUCUAUCCUGAGACGCGAGUCCGUGACCGAAAGGUCUGAAGUUGUUGAGUCUAUGCUGCCUAGAAAAGCUUCUAAGUAUAGGACACGCAAACCGUACCGGAAACCAACUCAGGUGGGUGGGAUGAAUAAUCCAAGGCGCUCGAGAGAACUCUGGCCAAGGAACUCGGCAAAAUAACCCCGUACCUUCGGAAGAAGGGGUGCUUUUUAGGGUGAAGCGAUUCACUCUGUCGAGCCCUGAAAAGCCGCAGAGAAAUGGUGGUGGCGACUGUUUACUAAAAACAUAGGUCUGUGCCAAGUCGUAUAGACGACGUAUACGGACUGACGCCUGCCCGGUGCUGGAAGGUUAAAAGGAGGAGUCAGCGCAAGCGAAGCUCCGAAUUGAAGCCCCAGUAAACGGCGGCCGUAACUAUAACGGUCCUAAGGUAGCGAAAUUCCUUGUCGGGUAAGUUCCGACCUGCACGAAUGGCGUAACGAUCUCCACACUGUCUCGGCCAGAGACUCGGUGAAAUUGAAGUCGCGGUGAAAAUGCCGUGUACCCGCAGAAAGACGGAAAGACCCUGUGCACCUUUACUAUAGCUUGACAUUGGGAUUUGAGCCUGCAUGUGUAGCAUAGGUGGGAGGCUGUGAACUCUGUACGCCAGUAUGGAGGGAGCCAUCGUUGAAAUACCACCCUUGUUUGUUCAGGUCCCUAACUCUUCGCCGUGAUCCGGUAAGAGGACAGUGUCUGGUGGGUAGUUUGACUGGGGCGGUCGCCUCCCAAAAUGUAACG